ACCAUGUAGAGUGAUUUCUGGAGAAGCACAAACUCUACCUAAAUAAUGUAUGGGUAGACACAUUCUCAACACACUCAAGAUAAGCAAGUAAAGACUUUGAGUAACAUACAUGACUACAUCUCAAUAUAUUAAUGGAAACUGCUGAUACAGGAGAAUAAACAUACCCUUCACGGAUAUGCUAACUGACGUUGUAAUGUCAGAUGUGGAGACAACUAUCAAUUAGCUAGAAAGCAUAGCUAUAAGUUGUUUGCAUUGUGAUGGAGUCAAGGGACUUGCAUUGGGUCAAGGCGGCAACUUGAUUUGCUGAAGGAAAUUGUGAGGUUGUCCAACUAGCAACCUUGUUUGAUGGUCAUGCGCUUAGUUGAUAACUUGGAGGGUAACCGUACGGAUUAUAGCACUUGUCCUUACUGUGACCAAAUAAGGUGUUGUUAACCGGUGAGGUGAACAAGGGAAGAAGAUAAUGGUUAUACAAUGGAAAGUUAGGUGAAGGUUAGGAAGGAGAUCUUUCUGUGGAGAGUUUGGGAGCUCAAGAAGAAAUGGUUUGUACGUAGUUUGUAUAAGUUGUUUGCAUGACAUUUUUUAUAGCGGUGGACAAGUUUAGCUAUGUGUCCUAAGGUCAUUGACAUUGAAGUUUGAUUUGAUAUUCUUGGCAGUGAUGGUGAUUCUAUAUACUAGGAUAAGAAGUUUUAAGAAGAAGGGGCAAAUAAUUUUCUUGAGCCUUCGCAUGAUCUUCAUGUAAUCUUAACGGAGAUGUCUAACUUAAGGUUCGCCGUGUUGUUAGCUUCAUUGAGAGACAUGUGUCGGAUUCUCUUAUGGAUAUGUUGUCAGGUUUGUGAGGUCCACAAGGUACGCUACGUAAGGUAUAAUAGGU
This 871-nucleotide long non-coding RNA is filed under the name Gossypium barbadense (sea-island cotton). RNAcentral describes it as "long non-coding RNA (GBAR_LNC003757)". Lineage: Eukaryota; Viridiplantae; Streptophyta; Magnoliopsida; Malvales; Malvaceae. The record is from RNAcentral.